UUUCAACAUCGUUUUGAUCUAUACGCAAUACAUUUAAACGUACUAUAUACGAUUAUUUACGUGGGUAUAAAUACUUGGGCAUGAUUAGGGUUAUUCAUUACAGAAGAAGAUGCCGGGAUGAAUGGGAGAAAACAAGGUUCAGAUUAGAAUGAAAUUAAAAAAACUGUAAUCCUACGGUACCUGAAAUGGUUGGAAAAGUUAGAGAUAGUGGAUAAUAGUCUUCAAAUGUUUGAAAAACCAAAAACAGAAACGGUACAUUUAUAUUAUGGCUUCUAAAAGUAUAGAUUUGCCAAGUUGCAUGCAGACGCAAAUUAAUUAGAUCUGUUCCACAGGUCCUAUAUAUCUACAUGAACAUGCUGAACGUACUACAGAUAAAUGAACGAUGGAAGUGCAUGAGAUGUUUCCAUGAUGUGGUUAUUUUGAAGUGUUGGAAUGAAAGACAAAAUUUCAGUCAACUGCAAAAUUUAUAUCAAACAACAUAUUGAUCAUGACCAAACUACACUUGUUUCACAUGAAUACCACUAUGAGUUGGUGCCUAACCAUUUUAUCCCUGUACUCCAUGUCCGUAAACUAGCUGUAACAAUCUAGCCAAAAGGGUCCGUUUUGGAUUCAUGUCGAAUAUACAUGUAACUGCACGGUUCUUACAUUUGAAGAUUUGGGCCAUUAAAAACAUACUAGAAAAAUCAGGCCGUCCGUUUUUUCGUUUAAUAAACGGUACUGGGUUUGCUCGUAGAUGAAGGUCGUAGGGUGAUCUUCAGUUGCCUACAUCCACGUCAAUUGCAUGGUCUCUGGUGGAUAGCUCUGUCUCAUUGGCAUCAUACCCUAUCUCCUUAUUUUAAUAUUCUAUUACAUGGAAGAGGAAGACAAAAAUAAGGUACAUAAUUGGAGAGUACCUAAUGCAGAGGCGGAGGGGGCAUUAUUGAGCUUUAUAUAAAAAUACGAAUACGAAUACUUUAUUAGACCAAUUAUCGGCCCAUUUAAUGUUUACAAAUAGACAUAAAAAAAACACAAUAAUCAUAAUUCUUAUGAUAAUAUGGAUUUAACUACAGCAGUUGUUUUCUUUUAGUAAAUUCAUAUAAGAUAAAUGCACAGUCUUUUUACAAAUAUCACUCUCAACGUUUACUUCCCACUUGCCAGGGGCCAUGCACCCUUUAUUCUAAAAUUCUGGAUCCUCACGCCACCUGCUUAAUGUACAAAAUUCUAAGCGUUAUUGAAAAUGGAACGUUGUUUAAAAAUGUAAAAAAUGUACGAAUUUAACGUGCACGAAGAUCUUGGUUGUUAUUGAAGUGAUGAAAAAAAGACAAAAAAUAUAGACUUCAAAAAUGUUGAUCACGUGAUAUUAGUUUGUAAUAGGAAAUAUCAGAAACAUGUUAUUUGGUUUCUUUGAUGUUGGGUUGCUGUCUAGCUGACGUAUUCACCGCAUCUACUUUCAUUCGUAUUUUAUUAUAUUAUAUACAUCAUAUCUAAUAAUCAUUGUCAUCAAGUAGAUAUAAGAAGAUGUGGUAUGAGUGCCAAUGAGACAACUCUCCAUCCAAGUCAAAACUUAUAAAAGUAAACCAUUAUAGGUCAAUUUUAGUCAUCAUCACAGAAAAAUAUGAUUUGCUUCUUUUUCUUUUCUCCUUUUUAUUUACAGUUCGUAUAACAUCUAAUGAAUUUGUUCGUUUUACAUGCAUGCUCAUAAUGUUAUUAUUGUAUAUAAAUUUAUAUUGUAAUACGGAGAAGACUUAAUAAGUAUGAACUACUUGUGUCUCAUCCAUUUUGCUUAGAUUUAGCAAAUAAACUAUAUAUCAUAAUGAU
This is a long non-coding RNA of Mytilus californianus (California mussel), 1797 nucleotides long. RefSeq lists it as uncharacterized. The transcript has 3 exons. NCBI's taxonomy places the organism in Eukaryota, Metazoa, Mollusca, Bivalvia, Mytilida, Mytilidae. The record is from RefSeq and is a predicted model, not a curated record.